UACGUAGGGUGCAAGCGUUAAUCGGAAUUACUGGGCGUAAAGCGUGCGCAGGCGGUUUUGUAAGUUUGUCGUGAAAGCCCCGGGCUCGACCUGGGAAUUGCGAUGAAGACUGCAAGGCUUGAAUCUGGCAGAGGGGGGUAGAAUUCACGUGUAGCAGUGAAAUGCGUAGAGAUGUGGAGGAACACCGAUGGCGAAGGCAGCCCCCUGGGUCAAGAUUGACGCUCAUGCACGAAAGCGUGGGGAGCAAACAGGA
RNAcentral lists this ribosomal RNA (253 nucleotides) under uncultured bacterium. RNAcentral describes it as "partial 16S ribosomal RNA". It matches the Rfam family "Bacterial small subunit ribosomal RNA", at positions 524 to 777 of the family's 1533-position model. The record is from RNAcentral.